UACGUAGGGUGCAAGCGUUAAUCGGAAUUACUGGGCGUAAAGCGUGCGCAGGCGGUUUUGUAAGACUGUCGUGAAAUCCCCGGGCUUAACCUGGGAAUGGCGAUGGUGACUGCAAGGCUAGAGUUUGGCAGAGGGGGGUAGAAUUCCACGUGUAGCAGUGAAAUGCGCAGAUAUCAGGAGGAACACCGGUGGUGAAGGCGGGUCUCUGGGCCGAUACUGACGCUGAGGAGCGAAAGCGUGGGGAGCGAACAGG
Molecule: ribosomal RNA, 253 nt
Filed under: uncultured prokaryote
Description: partial 16S ribosomal RNA
Rfam family: Bacterial small subunit ribosomal RNA
Source: RNAcentral